CCGCCUCUGCCGGUGGUGCCAUCACUGCUGCCUCCGCUCCCAAAGCUUGAUGUGCCAGUUUCAGGUGUGCCAAUUCCGGAACUGCCAAUUCCACCUGUGCCUGCUGUUCUUCUUCCUUCACUGCCUAGUCUCCCUUCACUGCCUGUGCCUAUUCCUGCAAUUCCUAAGGCCAUUCCAACCACUACUCCAUGAAAGAACUAAAACUUGUAUUCUUUGCUCUUGAACUUGUAACUUAGUGGUUAAGUUUCCUGCAUCUAAAUUUGGGUUCUGC
This 271-nucleotide long non-coding RNA is filed under the name Arachis ipaensis. RNAcentral's name for it is "long non-coding RNA (AIPA_LNC002392)". The record is from RNAcentral. Lineage: Eukaryota; Viridiplantae; Streptophyta; Magnoliopsida; Fabales; Fabaceae.